Long non-coding RNA from Poecilia reticulata (guppy), 604 nucleotides. RefSeq lists it as uncharacterized. Lineage: Eukaryota; Metazoa; Chordata; Actinopteri; Cyprinodontiformes; Poeciliidae. The record is from RefSeq and is a predicted model, not a curated record.
UUGGGAUGAACUAUUUAAUCCUUCAUCUAUAUUACCCCCGGGGCUCGGACAUGAUCUUACCGAAAGCUCACUGCUGCAGUUGGAUGAACUGGCUUUGGAGUCUCGAGCUGCGGGUGUGCCACAGGUGCAGCUAAUAAGGUUAAUAACAUGCACACUGAUUAGUGAUUAGCUGCUUAAAAGGCAUCAACGACGACGAGGUUGUUCAACUGGAUUAUGGAAACCAGGAGGAAGUCUUUUCUUGAACUUUGAAAAGUAUGAAAAUCAGCUUCUAGAAGGUCAGCUGUACGGUCAGCCACUCCGGAGGAGCGCUUGGUGUAAAAGCGAUACAGCAUAGAGUUCCUGUUGAUGAUGCAUCAUUCAAUGUUUUGUCCUCGUAAUGAACAGCAGGUGAUGUCAGAGUGUCCCUUUGUCAAACGACUCCCUGCGAUGCAAUGAAGGAACUGCAAGGAGCCCAUCAGGGUGCACUUAGAAACCUCCUCACACUUCCAAGAUGGACGUCUGCAAGUCAAAUGUUUGUCAUGAGCAACAUCUAACUACAUGCAUGAACUGAUGUGCUGUUUGAUUGUGUCAAAGAACUUAAUAGUAAAAGCUCUGUCAGCUGUAA